This 309-nucleotide ribosomal RNA is filed under the name uncultured eukaryote. RNAcentral describes it as "partial 18S ribosomal RNA". It matches the Rfam family "Eukaryotic small subunit ribosomal RNA", at positions 1470 to 1796 of the family's 1831-position model. The record is from RNAcentral.
CCCUUAGAUGUUCUGGGCGGCCCGCGCACUACAAUGGCGUGUGCAGCGAGUGCCGAAGUAGAGUUUUCCGAGGUAUUCUUGCAAUGCUCGUUUUGAUGGGGAUAGACCCUUGCAACUGUUGGUUUUGAACGGGGAAUUCCUUGUAAGCAUGGUUUAUCAUCCGACGCUGAAUGCGUCCCUGCCCUUUGUACACACCGCCCGUCGCUCCUACCGAUGAGUCGUCCGGUGAAGUUCGUAGACCUCGUGAUCGCGGAUCACUGGGGGAAGCAAAAUGAACCUCGCGGUUUAGAGGAAGGAGAAGUCGUAACA